Molecule: non-coding RNA, 89 nt
Organism: Pelobates cultripes (western spadefoot toad)
Lineage: Eukaryota; Metazoa; Chordata; Amphibia; Anura; Pelobatidae
Source: the annotation of a GenBank genome assembly
UGUGUGUGUGUGUGUGUGUGUGUGUGUGUAUAUGUGUGUGUAUGUAUAUACAUAUAAUAUACACGUACACACACUUACAGACACACACA